This 116-nucleotide ribosomal RNA is filed under the name uncultured bacterium. RNAcentral's name for it is "partial 16S ribosomal RNA". It matches the Rfam family "Bacterial small subunit ribosomal RNA", at positions 1367 to 1482 of the family's 1533-position model. The record is from RNAcentral.
UACGUCCCGGGGCUUGUACACACCGCCCGUCACGUCACGAAAGUCGGUAACACCCGAAGCCGGUGGCCCAACCCUUGUGGAGGGAGCCGUCGAAGGUGGGACUGGCGAUUGGGACG